Molecule: ribosomal RNA, 253 nt
Filed under: uncultured bacterium
Lineage: Bacteria
Description: partial 16S ribosomal RNA
Rfam family: Bacterial small subunit ribosomal RNA
Source: RNAcentral
UACGUAGGGUGCGAGCGUUAAUCGGAAUUACUGGGCGUAAAGCGUGCGCAGGCGGUUUUGUAAGCCAGAUGUGAAAUCCCCGGGCUUAACCUGGGAAUGGCAUUUGGGACUGCAAGGCUGGAGUUUGGCAGAGGAGACUGGAAUUCCUGGUGUAGCAGUGAAAUGCGUAGAUAUCGGAAGGAACAUCAGUGGCGAAAGCGACUUCCUGGACCAAUACUGACGCUCAUGUGCGAAAGCGUGGGGAGCAAACAGG